GCUACCAUGACUUUGAUCCCCGUCUUCAUCUGGACACUGAUCCUCUGGACUCAAGAAUGCAGAGGUCAAGCCACAGUAACUCAGACUCCUGCAGUGAAAUCUGUUCUUCCAGGAGAAACAGUCACCAUCAACUGUAGAACCAGUCCAGCAGUUUAUCAUCACAGCUCAAAUGGUGACCUCUUACACUGGUAUCAGCAGAAACCUGGAGAAGCUCCUAAACUCCUGAUUAAAUAUGUAAAUAAGCUACAGUCAGGUUUUCCAGCUCGUUUCAGUGGCAGUGGAUCUGGAUCUGAUUUCACUCUGACCAUCAGUGGAGUCCAGACUGAAGAUGCAGGAGAUUACUACUGUCAGUGUUUACAUUACAUCAGUAGCACCUAUCUGUUCACACAGUGUUAUAGAGUCGUACAAAAACCUCCCUCAGUCAGAUUGUAGAGAGUCUGAACUGCUGCAGCUGGGAGCGACUGCAGGUGCUGAGUUGGAGGAUGUGAUACGACACAAUGACACUCUGUGGAGGAGAAGAACCACAUCACACUAACUCAAAACUCACAUUAGAGAUCACUUAAUAAUGAUAAAAAUUCUGUAUGAAUGCUGAGUAUUUAUUAUAUUAUAUCAAUUUAAUUUAAAACAGACAGAUUAAUAAUUAGACCUGAAGGUCUUCAUCAGUCUUUUCACACAAUAGAUUUUUUUUUUUUUUUUUUGUGAAAAAACUCUUGAUUUCAGGUCUGAUAUAUCUGUCUUAGACAAAACCGGACCAAAUGAAACCAAGAUCAAUCAGAUCAAAACCUUUUCCAUCUUUAUUGUGACAUUUCAAUAAAUGAAAGUGAAAAGCAGUAAGAAUAAUAUUAGAGAAAAUAAAAUCAGUUGGUCAUGAGUGUGCACAUCUCUAAUCUAAGACAUAAUUGUAACGCCUUUAGAUUUUAUCACUGCAUUCAAUCUUCUUAGGCAAGUGUCAAUGAAUUUAGUGCUUAAUCUUUAUUUUAGAGAUAUUUUGCUAAACCACAGACUUUCAUAUGGAUCUAGAUAAGGACUUUGAGAAAUUCCAAAUCCCAGAUCUUUUUGUAAAGCCAUACCCCAGUACAGACUCUAAUUCUGACCCUGUUAUUAAUCUCAGUCUCUGAUUUUGUAGAUUUCUACAGUCAUGGUGUUUACUGUUCUAAUUGAAAACAUCACAGAAUUCAAAAUAUCAAGUGUCUGAUUAUCAAACUCAUUUCUGUUCUCUCUGACCCCUGAAUAUUUAUUUCAUCCAAACAUACCGGCUUACAAAGUCUGUUUUUUAUUACAUUUUGUUUGGUUGCACCGUUUCGUGAAUGUUUUGGUCUUGCAGAAAAAUAUCAUCUGCCGGAAAUCCCACAAAAUUUCCCCAACAAUCCUACUUUAAUGGUCAGGUUUCAUGUUGUCCUGAUAUUUUCUUACUAAUAAGUGCUAAUUUUCCUAUGUACCUAUGUGUCUUUAUGUAGCACCAGAAUCAUUGAGGAACACUGUUUCAGCCAUAUAUGCUUGAAAUGACAAUAAAUUACUCUACAAUAAGAAGUGGUUAUGUGGAAAGAUUUUGAGCCACGUGUUAUUAUGACGUUGAUUUAAUGAAGUAGAAAGAAUAUAGUACUUUAUCUUUAUUCAAAAGGCUUCAAUUAACGGAUAGCCACUUAACUACAGAUUCUGAAAACAUCUGUACAAAAUAAAAACAUUUACUUGUUACGCGUACGUAACGUCAAUUCAUGUGAAAUGAGUUGCAGAUACACUGCCAUUGGCAUAAUAUCAUUACAUUUUAUUAAAAAAAUGGAUCCCUGUGCCAAAUAACCAACCUUGUAAUUCUAAUUUAGAUUUUGCUUCUAGUGAAAAUGAGAAUAUCAACAUACAUUAGCCCGAUGUACAGAAUGGUUCAGAUGUUGAUUGUUCAGACUAUUGGAUUGUUGCGUGAAAUAGCAACUUAGCACUUUUAGCCAUAAAUACUCGAACAGCAAAGGCCCUGAAUGCUGAAGGUAUCAUUGAAAAAAAUUUGCCUUCAACCAUAACAACCACCACAUUGUCCUGAUUUGAUACUUUAAAUAGUAAGUGGUGUUAUUUGAUAACUACCCGGUGCUAUAGGUGUUUUUAUGUACAGUAUAUAUACAAAAUCGUUGGAAAAUUGUUUAAUUUUGUAAUUUGAGUGAUUCUUUAAUUUCAUAAAAAUAAAAAAAUAGAUUUGCACUGUCCUGGGGUGUUUAAGACUCAAAAUAGUAACUGGUAAUUAUUAUUAAGUAGUAUUUGGUAAAUAUAACCCCAGUGCUAUAGGCGUUUGUUGAA
Molecule: non-coding RNA, 2283 nt
Organism: Tachysurus fulvidraco (yellow catfish)
Lineage: Eukaryota; Metazoa; Chordata; Actinopteri; Siluriformes; Bagridae
Source: the annotation of a RefSeq genome assembly